RNAcentral lists this ribosomal RNA (446 nucleotides) under uncultured bacterium. Its description in RNAcentral is "partial 16S ribosomal RNA". It matches the Rfam family "Bacterial small subunit ribosomal RNA", at positions 338 to 795 of the family's 1533-position model. The record is from RNAcentral.
CCUACGGGUGGCAGCAGUAGGGAAUUUUCGGCAAUGGGGGGAACCCUGACCGAGCAACGCCGCGUGAACGAAGAAGUUAUUCGUAAUGUAAAGUUCUUUUAACAGGGAAGAAAGAGAAAUUUGACGGUCCCUGAAGAAUAAGCUCCGGCUAACUACGUGCCAGCAGCCGCGGUAAUACGUAGGGAGCGAGCGUUAUCCGGAUUUAUUGGGUUUAAAGGGUGCGUAGGCGGGCUUUUAAGUCAGCGGUAAAAAUUCGGGGCUCAACCCCGUCCGGUCGUUGAAACUGGGGGCCUUGAGUGGGCGAGAAGAAGGCGGAAUUCGUGGUGUAGCGGUGAAAUGCUUAGAUAUCACGAAGAACUCCGAUUGCGAAGGCAGCUUACUAAACUGCCACUGACAUUGAUGCUCGAAAGUGUGGGUAUCAAACAGGAUUAGAUACCCGUGUAGUC